GCCGGAAUCGCUAGUAAUCGCAGAUCAGCAUGCUGCGGUGAAUACGUUCCCGGGUCUUGUACACACCGCCCGUCACACCAUGGGAGUCGGAAAUGCCCGAAGUCAGUGGCCCAACCGCAAGGAGGGAGCUGCCGAAGGCAGGUCCGGUGACUGGGGUGAAGUCGUAACAAGGUAGC
RNAcentral lists this ribosomal RNA (176 nucleotides) under uncultured bacterium. RNAcentral describes it as "partial 16S ribosomal RNA". It matches the Rfam family "Bacterial small subunit ribosomal RNA", at positions 1325 to 1500 of the family's 1533-position model. The record is from RNAcentral.